RNAcentral lists this ribosomal RNA (946 nucleotides) under marine metagenome. Its description in RNAcentral is "bacterial SSU rRNA". It matches the Rfam family "Bacterial small subunit ribosomal RNA", at positions 114 to 1057 of the family's 1533-position model. The record is from RNAcentral.
CGCGUAGGAAUCUACCCAGUAGCGGGGGAUAGCCCGAGGAAACUCGGAUUAAUACCGCAUACGCCCUACGGGGGAAAGGGGGCAGCUUGCUGCUCUCACUAUUGGAUGAGCCUGCGUAAGAUUAGCUUGUUGGUGGGGUAAUGGCCUACCAAGGCAACGAUCUUUAGCUGGUCUGAGAGGACGAUCAGCCACAUUGGGACUGAGACACGGCCCAGACAUCUACGGAUGGCAGCAGUUAAGAAUAUUGGACAAUGGGGGCAACCCUGAUCCAGGUAUACCGCGUGUGUGAAGAAGGCCUUAGGGUUGUAAAGCACUUUAAUCAGAGAAGAAGCAUUUUAAGAUAAUACCUUAAUAUGUUGACGUUACCUGAAGAAUAAGGACCGGCUAACUCCGUGCCAGCAGCCGCGGUAAUACGGAGGGUCCAAGCGUUAAUCGGAAUUACUGGGCGUAAAGCGCGCGUAGGCGGUUUAUUAAGUUGAAUGUGAAAGCCCUGGGCUCAACCUAGGAACUGCAUUCAAAACUGAUAGGCUAGAGUACGAGAGAGGAGAGUAGAAUUUCUGGUGUAGCGGUGAAAUGCGUAGAUAUCAGAAGGAAUACCAAUGGCGAAGGCAGCUCUCUGGCUCGUCACUGACGCUAAGGUGCGAAAGCGUGGGUAGCAAACAGGAUUAGAUACCCUGGUAGUCCACGCCGUAAACGAUGAGAACUAGCCGUUGGACAGAUUUAACUGUUCAGUGGCGCAGCUAACGCAUUAAGUUCUCCGCCUGGGGAGUACGGCCGCAAGGCUAAAACUCAAAUGAAUUGACGGGGGCCCGCACAAGUGGUGGAGCAUGUGGUUUAAUUCGAUGCAACGCGAAAAACCUUACCUACCCUUGAAAUCCAGCGAAGUUUUCAGAGAUGAGAAUGUGCCUUUGGGAACGCUGUGACAGGUGUUGCAUGGCUGUCGUCA